UGGUCUAGCCANGCGAGUCAUUGUAGCAAUACAAGGCGGACGGCUCAGUAACACGUAGUCAACCUAACUCGUGGACGUGGAUAACCUCGGGAAACUGAGAAUAAACCACGAUAGAUCAUAGUGCCUGGAAUGGCUUAUGGUCCAAACAGUUUACUGCCAUGGGAUGGGACUGCGGCCUAUCAGCUUGUUGGUGAGGUAAUGGCCCACCAAGGCGAUUACAGGUACGGGCUCUGAGAGGAGUAGCCCGGAGAUGGGUACUGAGACACGGACCCAGGCCCUAUGGGGCGCAGCAGGCGAGAAACCUUAGCAAUGUGCGAAAGCACGACUGGGUCAGUCCGAGUGAUUCCUGAUAAAGGAGUCUUUUGCCUGUCCUAAAAGCACAGGUGAAUAAGGGGUGGGCAAGUCUGGUGUCAGCCGCCGCGGUAAUACCAGCACCUCGAGUGGUCAGGACGUUUAUUGGGCCUAAAGCAUCCGUAGCCGGCUCUGCAAGUCUUCGGUUAAAUCCACCUGCUCAACAGAUGGGCCGCUGGAGAUACUACAGAGCUAGGGAGUGGGAGAGGCAGACGGUAUUCAGUGGGUAGGGGUAAAAUCCUCUGAUCCAUUGAGGACCACCAGUGGCGAAGGCGGUCUGCCAGAACACGUUCGACGGUGAGGGAUGAAAGCUGGGGGAGCAAACCGGAUUAGAUACCCGGGUAGUCCCAGCUGUAAACGAUGCAAACUCGGUGAUGCAUUGGCUUAUGGCCAAUGCAGUGCCGCAGGGAAGCCGUUAAGUUUGCCGCCUGGGAAGUACGGACGCAAGUCUGAAACUUAAAGGAAUUGGCGGGGGAGCACCACAAGGGGUGAAGCCUGCGGUUCAAUUGGAUUCAACGCCGGAA
RNAcentral lists this ribosomal RNA (875 nucleotides) under uncultured archaeon. Its description in RNAcentral is "bacterial SSU rRNA". It matches the Rfam family "Archaeal small subunit ribosomal RNA", at positions 39 to 923 of the family's 1478-position model. The record is from RNAcentral.